Molecule: ribosomal RNA, 457 nt
Filed under: uncultured bacterium
Lineage: Bacteria
Description: bacterial SSU rRNA
Rfam family: Bacterial small subunit ribosomal RNA
Source: RNAcentral
AGAGUUUGAUCAUGGCUCAGGAUAAACGCUGGCGGCGUGCCUAACACAUGCAAGUCGAACGAUCCCGCAAGGGAGAGUGGCGGAAGGGUGAGUAACACGUGGGAAUCUACCUCCUCGCAGGGAACAACCUCUCGAAAGAGAGGCUAAUACCCAAAAGGGUCAGAAAUGAUCAGGGUCGAAGGGCGUGAGGAGAGGAGCCCGCGGCCCAUCAGCUAGUUGGUGAGGUAAUGGCUUACCAAGGCUACGACGGGUAGGGGAUCUGAGAGGAUGUCCCCCACACUGGAACUGAAACACGGUCCAGACGCCUACGGGUGGCAGCAGUGAGGAAUAUUGGACAAUGGGCGAAAGCCCGAUCCAGCAACGCCGCGUGGAGGAUGAAGGCCUUCGGGUCGUAAACUUCUUUAGAGGGAGACGAGAAAGGACGGUAUCCCUAGAAUAAGCGACGGCAAACUACGUG